Molecule: non-coding RNA, 735 nt
Organism: Nelumbo nucifera (sacred lotus)
Lineage: Eukaryota; Viridiplantae; Streptophyta; Magnoliopsida; Proteales; Nelumbonaceae
Source: RefSeq, a predicted model, not a curated record
UGCCAUGUUUUCAGUUUUUGAGCCUUACAAGGAUUCAAAAGUGGAUACUCUUGGACCCAAGCUACUUUUCAUUGCCCUGAACUUGGCAGGUCUGGCAUUGGGUGUCUGGAAGCUUAAUACAUUGGGUCUUCUUCCAACACAUGCAUCAGACUGGGUAUCAUCGUUACCCCCUGCUCAGGAAGUUGAAUAUUCUGGUGGUGGCAUUCCACUCCGUUAAUGCAUUCUUUGAUUUGGCUGUGCAACAUUUUUAGUUUGAAGGACAAGUGGCAACGGGUGUUACUGAAGCAGGAGGGAAUUCUUUUACACUUGGAGAAGUCAGUAUUAGGUGUGUGGUUCACCAGAGAAUAUAUGCGACAUGGUUGGAUUCAAUUUUUAGACCAAGGAACAAUUUGUCGAUCAUGAUCCUUGUGAAAGAUAAAAAGCUAAAAGUAAAAACAGAUCAAUAGAUGCCCUUUUGACCAUUCAGUGGCUCUGCCUUGACAACCUUUUUCUGGCAACUUGUUCAACAGUGUGUAUGUUACUACAUUGCUAAUCUAUUACCUGUUUGCUUCUGUUGAAUCUUCAUUUACUUGUAGGGCACCUGAUGGUAGUAGUUUCCCAAGAAGUGGGGAAAAAACUAGUUUUGUUUAUGAUUUCUCCCUUUUUUUUAGAAGAGAAUAUUCUAUUAACUUGAGCAAUUGACGGAAUGCUUGAAGACAUUCAUACUUCGCACAUUCUUAAAGAGAUUUCUUUAAA